GUCGAGAAUCUUUCACAAUGGGGGAAACCCUGAUGGAGCGACGCCGCGUGGGGGAUGAAGGGCUUCGGCCUGUAAACCCCUGUCAUCUGCGAACAAACCUCUGAUGUGAAUAACAUCAGGGCUGAUUGUAGCGGAAGAGGAAGGGACGGCUAACUCUGUGCCAGCAGCCGCGGUAAUACAGAGGUCCCAAGCGUUGUUCGGAUUCACUGGGCGUAAAGGGUGCGUAGGUGGUAGGGCAAGUUUGAUGUGAAAGCUCCGAGCUUAACUCGGAAAUGGCAUUGAAUACUGCCUUGCUAGAGGAUUGGAGGGGGGACUGGAAUUCUCGGUGUAGCGGUGAAAUGCGUAGAUAUCGAGAGGAACACCAGUGGCGAAGGCGAGUCCCUGGACAAUACCUGACACUGAGGCACGAAAGCUAGGGGAGCAAACAGGAUUAGAUACCCGGGUAGUCC
Molecule: ribosomal RNA, 449 nt
Filed under: uncultured bacterium
Lineage: Bacteria
Description: bacterial SSU rRNA
Rfam family: Bacterial small subunit ribosomal RNA
Source: RNAcentral